This 796-nucleotide ribosomal RNA is filed under the name Enteucha gilvafascia. RNAcentral describes it as "eukaryotic LSU rRNA". It matches the Rfam family "Eukaryotic large subunit ribosomal RNA", at positions 406 to 944 of the family's 3401-position model. Lineage: Eukaryota; Metazoa; Arthropoda; Insecta; Lepidoptera; Nepticulidae. The record is from RNAcentral.
CGUUCAGGGGUAAACCUGCGAAACUCGAAUGAACGAACGGGGAGAUUCAUCGUCAUUCGUCGGACGGCGCGGUGGGAACGCGAUGUUCAGCCCUCCGGUGAUCUAGGUCGCCGGUGUAAGUUGGGCACGCGCCUCGCUCGCGUCACGCGUCCGACGACGGCGUGCACUUCUCCCUUAGUAAUGCAUCGCGACCCGCUCGGUGUCGGUCUAAGCCCCAAUCGGGAGUCCGCUGUUCGCGUUGCGUUCGACGGACCGGUUUGGUGUGCCGACCGGCUGCCGGGCGGUAGACGAAAUGAAACGAACACGCGCUUGUCGCGUCCGGCCCGACGCAAGGUCGCCUCGUAGCCGCCGUCACGCCUGAGUGCGUACGGUGUGCUCGCGGUGCCUGCUUCAGUGGCAGCCGUGUGCAUUGGACGUGUUCGCAUCUAGUCAGCGAUGUUUUUGUUUCGGGCACUCGCAGGACCCGUCUUGAAACACGGACCAAGGAGUCUAGCAUGUGUGCAAGUCACUAGGUGAUAAAACCGAAAGGCGUAACGAAAGUGAAGGCGCACGCUUGUCGUGCGCUCGGGGAGGAUGGCGGUGGCUCACGCGGUCACCGCCCGCACUCCCGAGGCGUCCCGUUCCCAAUUCGUGGAUGUGGGCGCGCUCAGAGCACAGAUGCUGGGACCCGAAAGAUGGUGAACUAUGCCUGGUCAGGUCGAAGUCAGGGGAAACCCUGAUGGAGGACCGUAGCGAUUCUGACGUGCAAAUCGAUCGUCGGAACUGGGUAUAGGGGCGAAAGACUAAUCGAACCAUC